CCUACGGGAGGCUGCAGUGGGGAAUAUUGGGCAAUGGGCGCAAGCCUGACCCAGCAACGCCGCGUGAAGGAAGAAGGCUUUCGGGUUGUAAACUUCUUUUCUCAGGGACGAAGCAAGUGACGGUACCUGCGGAAUAAGCCACGGCUAACUACGUGCCAGCAGCCGCGGUAAUACGUAGGUGGCAAGCGUUAUCCGGAUUUACUGGGUGUAAAGGGCGUGUAGGCGGGAAAGCAAGUCAGAUGUGAAAACCAUGGGCUCAACCUGUGGCCUGCAUUUGAAACUGUUUUUCUUGAGUACGGGUGAGGCAGACGGAAUGCCUAGUGUAGCGGUGAAAUGCGUAGAUAUUAGGGGGAACACCAGUGGCGAAGGCGGUCUGCUGGACAGCAACUGACGCUGAGGCGCGAAAGCGUGGGGAGCAAACAGGAUUAGAUACCCGGGUAGUC
Molecule: ribosomal RNA, 443 nt
Filed under: uncultured bacterium
Lineage: Bacteria
Description: partial 16S ribosomal RNA
Rfam family: Bacterial small subunit ribosomal RNA
Source: RNAcentral